Molecule: non-coding RNA, 73 nt
Organism: Trichonephila inaurata madagascariensis
Lineage: Eukaryota; Metazoa; Arthropoda; Arachnida; Araneae; Nephilidae
Source: the annotation of a GenBank genome assembly
GUCACUGUAGAGCAAUGGAUAGCAUGUUGGACCUUUAAUCCAAAGGUCGUGGAUUCGAAUCCCACCAGAGAUG